CAUGAAUGGUGACCGACAAACCUUGAAGUGGCCAAUCGGUGGUGGAGGCGGCUGCGAAGAGAACUUCCAAAACUCGAGAGGAUGGGCAUUGGCGAUGGGACAAGAUUGAAAGUUGGAAGACAGAAAGAAGAGGGGUUCAGGUUUUUAAUCGCUCUUUUAUUUGGAUAGAGAAAUAGAAUAUAGCAGGAGAUUUUAUUAGGUACUCUGGGAUCGAGCAUGAUCGGGCCAACUCAAAUGACUAAUUGACUCAGGCU
Molecule: long non-coding RNA, 254 nt
Filed under: Elaeis guineensis (African oil palm)
Lineage: Eukaryota; Viridiplantae; Streptophyta; Magnoliopsida; Arecales; Arecaceae
Description: long non-coding RNA (EGUI_LNC010498)
Source: RNAcentral